AUGAGCGGUAGCGCGUUCGACGCGUUCAAGUCGCACGUGCCGGCGGCGAGCAGCCCGCGGCUGUACAUCACGCUGGUGCGCGGCCUCCCCGGCACGCGCCGCCUACACCGCCGCACGCUCGAGGCCAUGCGUCUCCGCCGUUGCCACCGCACCGUCGAUCACCUCACCGCGCCCCCCUCCCUCCUCGGCAUUCUCACCCAGUUCAAGCGCCUCGUCGCUGUUGAGACCCAGGAGAUGUACGACGCGCGGAGGAACGCGACGUGCCGCCGCGCGCCCAGGCCGCCGCUGGUCGUAUCGCACCAUCCUCCGAUGCCGACCGCGCAGUAG
RNAcentral lists this ribosomal RNA (327 nucleotides) under Triticum aestivum (bread wheat). Its description in RNAcentral is "partial small subunit ribosomal RNA". The record is from RNAcentral. Lineage: Eukaryota; Viridiplantae; Streptophyta; Magnoliopsida; Poales; Poaceae.